This is a long non-coding RNA of Sorex araneus (European shrew), 522 nucleotides long. RefSeq lists it as uncharacterized. The record is from RefSeq and is a predicted model, not a curated record. NCBI's taxonomy places the organism in Eukaryota, Metazoa, Chordata, Mammalia, Eulipotyphla, Soricidae. The transcript is spliced from 4 exons.
UCCUACACAGAUCGAGCACCUUCCUUGCUGCAUAGGGCUAAGAACACAAAGAUGAUUCAGAAAUAGUUCCUGUCUGUGAGUCAAGUUCCCUGUGUGAAGAGAGGAAGAUGGGCCAAGCUGUUCCAAUAGAGUAUAGCCACAGUGGGCCAUAGGACAUUCUGAGAUGGCAGAGGAGAGUCUUUCAUCUCCCAAGGGCCUCUGAAAAGCUUCCCGGGCAUAUACUAAAUGUAACUCAAGGAAUGCUCCCACUUGGUGAAGGGAGGGUUGAGUCCAGACAGAGUCUGCUCCGUGGUUGAAUCCUGUGAUGGAGGAUGGGCAAAACUGUCAGAGACAACUAGUUAUGACCAAGUCACGUGGACAGACAAGUCAUUAUGUUCUUCUGGUUCUGAAAGUGCUUCUCCUGAAGGAUGAUGUGUUCUAAUUCUCCGAGACCAAUCUAGAGUCCUAAAAGUCUUAUUCCUGACUCUGCUUGAGAGACCAUAUGAGGUAUCAGAGAUUGAACAUGGCUUAGCUGAAUGCAAG